UCCGUAGGCGGGUAAUUAAGUCAGAGGUGAAAUCCCACAGCUUAACUGUGGAACUGCCUUAGAUACUGGUUAUCUUGGGUUUUAGUGAAGUAGAUAGAAUGUGUAGUGUAGCGGUGAAAUGCAUAGAUAUUACACAGAAUACCGAUUGCGAAGGCAGUCUACUAACUAACAACUGACGCUAAUGGACGAAAGCGUGGGGAGCGAACAGGAUUAGAUACCCUGGUAGUCC
RNAcentral lists this ribosomal RNA (229 nucleotides) under uncultured bacterium. RNAcentral's name for it is "partial 16S ribosomal RNA". It matches the Rfam family "Bacterial small subunit ribosomal RNA", at positions 568 to 796 of the family's 1533-position model. The record is from RNAcentral.